Molecule: microRNA precursor, 78 nt
Filed under: Schistosoma japonicum
Lineage: Eukaryota; Metazoa; Platyhelminthes; Trematoda; Strigeidida; Schistosomatidae
Description: microRNA sja-mir-3492 precursor
Rfam family: mir-3492 microRNA precursor family
Source: miRBase by way of RNAcentral
AGCUUCCUGUAUCCGUGCUGAGAUUUCGUCUGUCACCAGGCCACCAGCACUGAUGAGACUCCACAGAUACGUGAAGCG